GCCCCCAUCGUCUAGCGGUCUAGGACGCCGGGUUCUCAACUCGGAAACGCCGGUUCAAUUCCGGCUGGGGGCGCCA
This 76-nucleotide transfer RNA is filed under the name Oxalobacteraceae bacterium. Its description in RNAcentral is "tRNA-Glu". It matches the Rfam family "tRNA". Rfam says of the family: Transfer RNA (tRNA) molecules are approximately 80 nucleotides in length. Their secondary structure includes four short double-helical elements and three loops (D, anti-codon, and T loops). The record is from RNAcentral. Lineage: Bacteria; Pseudomonadati; Pseudomonadota; Betaproteobacteria; Burkholderiales; Oxalobacteraceae.